Molecule: transfer RNA, 90 nt
Filed under: bacterium
Lineage: Bacteria
Description: tRNA-Ser
Rfam family: tRNA
About the family: Transfer RNA (tRNA) molecules are approximately 80 nucleotides in length. Their secondary structure includes four short double-helical elements and three loops (D, anti-codon, and T loops).
Source: RNAcentral
GGAGGGUUGCCGGAGUGGACGAACGGGCACGAUUGGAAAUCGUGUAGGCGGGGAUAACCUGUCUCGAGGGUUCGAAUCCCUCACCCUCCG